CCGACCAAAUAGGCUCAUUCAUCUCUGUCGCAACCGUCACCCAUUUUAAGAUCGUAAGGCGCAAUCUAUAGUAUUAUAAAUCUAUGGUUUUAAUAGUUUUAGAUAUUAUACCUAACGUAAUCAGAUGCUCUUAUGUUAAACUUAAGGGAAAAACUACUAAUUUUGAUACAUAAAUCUUUAGUUGAAUCUCUUUUUCACCAUGGUUUACAUGUUAGGAGGAAUUUACAAUAAUGUACUACAUGCAGUAUCAGUAUCCCCAAUUCAAAAUUAUUAUAUACCUACUCAAAAUCAUUUAAAAAAGUAAAUUGUAUUCAACCCAUUAUUAAUAUACCUAGGAUAUUUGAAUGAUUUAGGCCCGAUUGUACAUUGGCGGCUUAAGCUAUGGCUUAGUUGAACCGGGUUCAAUUUUGAGCGUCGGUUUAACUUCAUUCGGGUUGUUCAAUGCCGAGUUCAGUUAAGCCGAGGUUCAUACAAAUUUUGGUAAGGUUGGCAACGUAAGGCAUGCGUAUUCAAAGCAAUUCCCGUCAAUUCUCGACAUAAAUUUUCCCGCCAUUUAUGUAUUAUUAUUUGGUUUUUGUCAAUAUAAUUCUUUUAUUACUGUUAUUAGUUUAAUCGGUAUUUUCUAUCGUUUAGUUUAUCAGUUUAAUCAAUUUCCUACGUUAAAUUUGUGAACAGACCAUUUGAAUAGCUUGUGAUGAAGGAUUGCGUAAGGGUGUUAUCAGGUUUUCUUGACUCCGUAACCACUAUCACCAAAGAAGAUACUAAUUCAAUCUUCACAUUCUCUUCUCAUAAAUAUUUAACUGUUUACAGCUAUGAUUUCAAAUUCACUCAAAAAUGUUAAUAUUUGCCUUAUUCUAGGGAAGUAGGUAGGUAAUUUAAAUAAUUUUAGAAGGUAAAUUAGUUUGUAAUUAUUAUUAAAUAAAGUGAUAAUAUGUACCUACAUAAGCAUGGUACAAAUAUAAUUAAUUUAAGAUUUAUUAAUAAAUUAUGUACAUCUAAUUUAAUAAAUUAACAAAAUCGUUUUCUACAUUUGCUUCAAAAUCAUUCACAAGUUGCAAAAAGGAGCCUGUUGCUUAAAACCAGUGAUAUGGGCCCACUUCACUGCACAAAACCUUAAUUUAAGGCAAUAAAAACAAUGUUCUUAGAAGAUACAGCUUGGUUCUUGAAAUGUCAAUAACAAAUUUGCCACUUGUUUUCGUUCUCGUUCUUACCUAUCUGUUCGAUUUUUUAUUCUAUGAGCAAUACUAGUUUCAUACAAAUAGUGAACAGUGAACAGAUAUCCAAAAUCUUUGCAACAAUGCAUAAUGCAUUAUCCUUCCAUUUUCAAAAUGAUUUUCUCUAGACCUACACUGUUUCUGUGUUCUCCUUCCUUCUAGAAUAUUUACCAUUUCCAGAAAAUCUUCAUUAUUAGUUAAAUUUUCAAUGAGGUUCAUUUUUAAGGUGUAAAUAUUAUGAUUUCCGUUGACAAAUGACAAAAAUGUGAGGUUAAAAAUGCUUGAACCAGCGUUAAACCGCCGAACAUCGACCGCUCAGCUGAACCCGGGCUUAAACCGAGCUCAAGCUUAAACUUUGUAUGUACAACGCACUUCUUGCCCUGAACUCGGUAAUGGCGCUGAGCCGGAGUUGAACCUCGAUUGUACAACCGGGCCUUAGUCCCAUAUAUACACAAGAAAGAAUCUCCUUCUGCUUUAAUUAAGUAGUAAUGCUAUUCUACUGCAUAUAUUUAAUUGCAAUUAUAUUCUAUGAUUUUUGUAACUCUACAGGUAUCUACCACAUUUUUUAACGAAUAUAUGAAAUAAAUAGUUAUUAAAAA
This is a long non-coding RNA of Diabrotica virgifera virgifera (western corn rootworm), 1813 nucleotides long. RefSeq lists it as uncharacterized. Lineage: Eukaryota; Metazoa; Arthropoda; Insecta; Coleoptera; Chrysomelidae. The record is from RefSeq and is a predicted model, not a curated record. The transcript has 2 exons.